RNAcentral lists this ribosomal RNA (254 nucleotides) under uncultured bacterium. RNAcentral's name for it is "partial 16S ribosomal RNA". It matches the Rfam family "Bacterial small subunit ribosomal RNA", at positions 524 to 776 of the family's 1533-position model. The record is from RNAcentral.
UACGUAGGGGGCGAGCGUUGUCCGGAUUUAUUGGGCGUAAAGAGCUCGUAGGCGGCUUGGCAAGUCGGGUGUGAAACCUCCAGGCUCAACCUGGAGACGCCACUCGAUACUGCUAUGGCUAGAGUCCGGUAGGGGACCACGGAAUUCCUGGUGUAGCGGUGAAAUGCGCAGAUAUCGGGAGGAACACCGGUGGCGAAGGCGGUUCUCUGGGCCUUACCUGACGCUGAGGAGCGAAAGCGUGGGGAGCGAACAGG